GAUGAAGAACGUAGCGAAAUGCGAUAAGUAGUGUGAAUUGCAGAAUUCAGUGAAUCAUCGAAUCUUUGAACGCACAUUGCGCCCCUUGGUAUUCCAUGGGGCAUGCCUGUUCGAGCGUCAUUUGUACCUUCAAGCUUUGCUUGGUGUUGGGUGUUUGUCUCGCCUUUGCGUGUAGACUCGCCUUAAAAUAAUUGGCAGCCGGCGUAUUGAUUUCGGAGCGCAGUACAUCUCGCGCUUUGCACUCAUAACGACAGCGUCCAAAAGUACAUUUUACACUCUUGACCUCGGAUCAGGUAGGGAUACCCGCUGAACUUAAGCAUAUCAAUAAGCGGAGGG
RNAcentral lists this unclassified non-coding RNA (336 nucleotides) under soil metagenome. Its description in RNAcentral is "partial contains 5.8S ribosomal RNA, internal transcribed spacer 2, and large subunit ribosomal RNA". The stretch from base 1 to 120 matches the Rfam family "5.8S ribosomal RNA", at positions 35 to 154 of the family's 154-position model. The record is from RNAcentral.